GUCCACGCCCUAAACGAUGAGUGCUAGAUGUUGGUGGGUAACCAUCGGUGUCGUAGCUAACGCGUUAAGCACUCCGCCUGAGGAGUACGGUCGCAAGAUUAAAACUCAAAUGAAUUGACGGGGACCCGCACAAGCGGUGGAGCAUGUGGUUUAAUUCGAAGCAACGCGCAGAACCUUACCAGACCUUGACAUGGGUACUAUGAGCUUGGGAAUCUGAGCUCUUCACUUCGGGUGGGUACCACACAGGUGCUGCAUUGCUGUCGU
This 264-nucleotide ribosomal RNA is filed under the name uncultured bacterium. RNAcentral describes it as "partial 16S ribosomal RNA". It matches the Rfam family "Bacterial small subunit ribosomal RNA", at positions 793 to 1055 of the family's 1533-position model. The record is from RNAcentral.